This 208-nucleotide ribosomal RNA is filed under the name uncultured bacterium. Its description in RNAcentral is "partial 16S ribosomal RNA". It matches the Rfam family "Bacterial small subunit ribosomal RNA", at positions 568 to 774 of the family's 1533-position model. The record is from RNAcentral.
CGUGCAGGCGGGUUGGUAAGUCAGAUGUGAAAGCCCUGGGCUCAACCCAGGAAGUGCAUUUGAAACUGCCAUCCUUGAGUAUGGGAGAGGAGAGUGGAAUUCCCAAUGUAGAGGUGAAAUUCGUAGAUAUUGGGAGGAACACCCGUGGCGAAGGCGACUCUCUGGACCAAUACUGACGCUGAGACGCGAAAGCGGUGGGGAGCAAACA